Molecule: long non-coding RNA, 990 nt
Organism: Nicotiana tabacum (common tobacco)
Lineage: Eukaryota; Viridiplantae; Streptophyta; Magnoliopsida; Solanales; Solanaceae
Source: RefSeq, a predicted model, not a curated record
CAAGAAAAAAAAUCAAAAAAACCUAGACCUGGACAUUUUGAGAAUGAGCCGUUCUCUUUCACGGACACAAGACCAAAACCCUAGGGGAACCUUCUUCUUUUUAUGAACAUCAACGACAGAACUCGACGACCCCUCUCGGCCGCUAACUCUAAAACGAACUCCAUCAACGACCAUCUUCUCCACGCCACAAGCAGCCAUCCAGCCGUUACCCUCACCAAAAACAACACCCUAAACUUCAUCUUCAAGAACAAACAAGACAAACCCAUCUCCCAGUGGAAAAGGCCCGAUCUCCAAAAGCUUCGGCUGUUCAUGCUUCUUCAUCUUCAACCGUAGAAGCUCCAGGAACUAAAAAGAGAAGGCUUCCAUCUCCGGCGAGACCUCCAUCGCCGCCACCCGCCGCAAACCAGCACCAAAAUCCGUCAAAUCAGCUCUAAAAAACUCAGUUGAAACGCAGCAAACUUCAGCCCCAAAACUCACCAAAAAUCAGUCAAAACGUAGCCGAAGCCUUGUCCGAAAUAGCUCUCGAAUCGCAUCUGAAAUCUGCUGCAACAACGCCCAAAACGCCACCAUAGAUUCGAGUCGAGUUGACGAGCUGUCCGUUUGUAAAUCCGAGGUUCCGUUCGAGGUGCGGUCUGUUGGUCUUGUUCAAAAUCGUUGUUAGCCGCGCAAUCCUAUCUGUGGUAGUUGCUGGAAUUUUUCGACAUUUGAAAACGUAUUGAGGUACACUACUUUGAAUCACCUCGACGUUUGAUUAUUAAAGUUGAAAUAAAAUGGACAGAAUAUUUCUGUAUUUAAUUAUAGAAUAAUUGUAUUUUAGUUAGAUAUUAGUUAUGUGUUUCCAAUUAUAUGAAGGGUAGAGGCAUGUUGUAUUAAGACUAUUUUUGUAAGAUCGUUGAUUAGCAGCUAGAUAGGGCAUAACGUUAGAUUACGGACCUAAGAUCCUUAAAAUGACGUGAAUAUAUGUCAAUACAGUAUGCAUGUUUAAUUUGA